Molecule: ribosomal RNA, 497 nt
Filed under: uncultured bacterium
Lineage: Bacteria
Description: partial 16S ribosomal RNA
Rfam family: Bacterial small subunit ribosomal RNA
Source: RNAcentral
GAUGAACGCUGGCGGCGUGCCUAAUACAUGCAAGUCGAGCGAACGGACGAGAAGCUUGCUUCUCUGAUGUUAGCGGCGGACGGGUGAGUAACACGUGGAUAACCUCCCUAUAAGUCUGGGAUAACUUCGGGACUCCGGAGCUAAUACCGGAUAAUAUUUUGAACCGCAUGGUUCAAUAGUGAAAGACGGUCUUGCUGUCACUUCUAGAUGGAUCCGCGCUGCAUUAGCUAGUUGGUAAGGUAACGGCUUACCAAGGCAACGAUGCGUAGCCGACGUGAGAGGGGGAUCGGCCACACGAGAAGUGAAACACGGUCCAGAGUCCUACGGGAGGCAGCAGUAGGGAAUCUUCCGCAAUGGGCGAAAGCCUGACGGAGCAAGGCCGCGUGAGAGAUGAAGGUCUUCGGAUCGUAAAACUCUGUUAUUAGGGAAGAACAUAUGUGGAAGUAACUGUGCACAGAGUGACGGUACCUAAUCAGAAAGCCACGGCUAACUACGUG